AACGCGAAGAACCUUACCUGGGCUCGAACGGCUUAAGAUCAUCUGUGGAAACACGGACUUCCCGCAAGGGACUUGAGUCGAGGUGCUGCAUGGCUGUCGUCAGCUCGUGUCGUGAGAUGUUGGGUUAAGUCCCGCAACGAGCGCAACCCUUGUCCUGUGUUGCCACUCCCCUUAAAAGGAAGCACUCUCAGGAGACCGCCAGCGAUAAGCUGGAGGAAGGUGGGGAUGAUGUCAAGUCAUCAUGGCCUUUAUGUCCAGGGCUACACACGUGCUACAAUGGACGGUACAAAGCGCUGCUAACCCGCGAGGGGGAGCCAAUCGCAAAAAACCGUUCUCAGUUCGGAUCGCAGGCUGCAACCCGCCUGCGUGAAGCUGGAAUCGCUAGUAAUGGCGUAUCAGAACGACGCCGUGAAUACGUUCCCGGGCCUUGUACACACCGGAGUGC
This 445-nucleotide ribosomal RNA is filed under the name uncultured bacterium. RNAcentral's name for it is "bacterial SSU rRNA". It matches the Rfam family "Bacterial small subunit ribosomal RNA", at positions 958 to 1398 of the family's 1533-position model. The record is from RNAcentral.